UGGCGGCGUGCCUAACACAUGCAAGUCGAACGGAGGUUUAACUCUUCACUAAUGUUUACGGAUUAGCGGUAGAGUGAUUAGUGAAGAGAUAAACCUUAGUGGCGGACGGGUGAGUAAUGCAUGAGCAACUUGCCUUCAGAGGGGGAUAACACACCGAAAGGUGUGCUAAUACCGCAUGAUAUAUUUUUCCCGCAUGGGAGAGAUAUCAAAGGAGUAAGCCAACUUGUUGGCUUAUCCGCUGAAAGAUGGGCUCAUGUCUGAUUAGAUAGUUGGUGAGGUAAUGGCUCACCAAGUCGACGAUCAGUAGCCGGACUGAGAGGUUGAACGGCCACAUUGGGACUGAGACACGGCCCAGACUCCUACGGGAGGCAGCAGUGGGGAAUAUUGGUCAAUGGGGGGAAAAACCCCCUGAACCAGCAACGCCGCGUGAAGGAAGAAGGUCUUCGGAUUGUAAACUUUUGUCUUAUGGGACGAUAAUGACGGUACCAUAGGAGGAAGCCACGACUAACUACGUGCCAGCAGCUGC
RNAcentral lists this ribosomal RNA (526 nucleotides) under uncultured bacterium. RNAcentral's name for it is "bacterial SSU rRNA". It matches the Rfam family "Bacterial small subunit ribosomal RNA", at positions 37 to 518 of the family's 1533-position model. The record is from RNAcentral.